Dendronephthya gigantea is the source of this 201-nucleotide long non-coding RNA. RefSeq lists it as uncharacterized. NCBI's taxonomy places the organism in Eukaryota, Metazoa, Cnidaria, Anthozoa, Malacalcyonacea, Nephtheidae. The transcript is spliced from 3 exons. The record is from RefSeq and is a predicted model, not a curated record.
AUUAUUUAAUUCUGGAACAAUGAAGAAAGACAAAACGUAAAAAAAGGAUUGAAUUCUUGUGACCACCAUAGAUUGUUUAAUGGUUGCAUUGAAGAGGCUUUUAACUGCUGGUGCAAAGCGGACGCAAUUUUCUCUGGCAACAUUUCAUCUGUCAUUUCAAAAGAAUAGCCAAAAUACUUGUAUGGUAAAUAAUGUAAAUAA